RNAcentral lists this ribosomal RNA (1501 nucleotides) under Helicobacter pylori. RNAcentral's name for it is "bacterial SSU rRNA". It matches the Rfam family "Bacterial small subunit ribosomal RNA". Lineage: Bacteria; Pseudomonadati; Campylobacterota; Epsilonproteobacteria; Campylobacterales; Helicobacteraceae. The record is from RNAcentral.
UAUGGAGAGUUUGAUCCUGGCUCAGAGUGAACGCUGGCGGCGUGCCUAAUACAUGCAAGUCGAACGAUGAAGCUUCUAGCUUGCUAGAAUGCUGAUUAGUGGCGCACGGGUGAGUAACGCAUAGGUCAUGUGCCUCUUAGUUUGGGAUAGCCAUUGGAAACGAUGAUUAAUACCAGAUACUCCCUACGGGGGAAAGAUUUAUCGCUAAGAGAUCAGCCUAUGUCCUAUCAGCUUGUUGGUAAGGUAAUGGCUUACCAAGGCUAUGACGGGUAUCCGGCCUGAGAGGGUGAACGGACACACUGGAACUGAGACACGGUCCAGACUCCUACGGGAGGCAGCAGUAGGGAAUAUUGCUCAAUGGGGGAAACCCUGAAGCAGCAACGCCGCGUGGAGGAUGAAGGUUUUAGGAUUGUAAACUCCUUUUGUUAGAGAAGAUAAUGACGGUAUCUAACGAAUAAGCACCGGCUAACUCCGUGCCAGCAGCCGCGGUAAUACGGAGGGUGCAAGCGUUACUCGGAAUCACUGGGCGUAAAGAGCGCGUAGGCGGGAUAGUCAGUCAGGUGUGAAAUCCUAUGGCUUAACCAUAGAACUGCAUUUGAAACUACUAUUCUAGAGUGUGGGAGAGGUAGGUGGAAUUCUUGGUGUAGGGGUAAAAUCCGUAGAGAUCAAGAGGAAUACUCAUUGCGAAGGCGACCUGCUGGAACAUUACUGACGCUGAUUGCGCGAAAGCGUGGGGAGCAAACAGGAUUAGAUACCCUGGUAGUCCACGCCCUAAACGAUGGAUGCUAGUUGUUGGAGGGCUUAGUCUCUCCAGUAAUGCAGCUAACGCAUUAAGCAUCCCGCCUGGGGAGUACGGUCGCAAGAUUAAAACUCAAAGGAAUAGACGGGGACCCGCACAAGCGGUGGAGCAUGUGGUUUAAUUCGAAGAUACACGAAGAACCUUACCUAGGCUUGACAUUGAGAGAAUCCGCUAGAAAUAGUGGAGUGUCUGGCUUGCCAGACCUUGAAAACAGGUGCUGCACGGCUGUCGUCAGCUCGUGUCGUGAGAUGUUGGGUUAAGUCCCGCAACGAGCGCAACCCCCUUUCUUAGUUGCUAACAGGUCAUGCUGAGAACUCUAAGGAUACUGCCUCCGUAAGGAGGAGGAAGGUGGGGACGACGUCAAGUCAUCAUGGCCCUUACGCCUAGGGCUACACACGUGCUACAAUGGGGUGCACAAAGAGAAGCAAUACUGCGAAGUGGAGCCAAUCUUCAAAACACCUCUCAGUUCGGAUUGUAGGCUGCAACUCGCCUGCAUGAAGCUGGAAUCGCUAGUAAUCGCAAAUCAGCCAUGUUGCGGUGAAUACGUUCCCGGGUCUUGUACUCACCGCCCGUCACACCAUGGGAGUUGUGUUUGCCUUAAGUCAGGAUGCUAAAUUGGCUACUGCCCACGGCACACACAGCGACUGGGGUGAAGUCGUAACAAGGUAACCGUAGGUGAACCUGCGGUUGGAUCACCUCCUU